Molecule: ribosomal RNA, 253 nt
Filed under: uncultured bacterium
Lineage: Bacteria
Description: partial 16S ribosomal RNA
Rfam family: Bacterial small subunit ribosomal RNA
Source: RNAcentral
UACGUAGGGUGCAAGCGUUGUCCGGAAUUAUUGGGCGUAAAGAGCUCGUAGGCGGUUUGUCGCGUCUGCUGUGAAAACUUAGGGCUUAACCCUGAGCCUGCAGUGGGUACGGGCAGACUAGAGUGUGGUAGGGGAGAUCGGAAUUCCUGGUGUAGCGGUGGAAUGCGCAGAUAUCAGGAGGAACACCGGUGGCGAAGGCGGAUCUCUGGGCCAUAACUGACGCUGAGGAGCGAAAGCAUGGGGAGCGAACAGG